AUCCAUCUGACGAGUCCCAAAUAGGACGAAAUGCGCGUCCUGGAU
Molecule: non-coding RNA, 45 nt
Organism: Schistosoma mansoni
Lineage: Eukaryota; Metazoa; Platyhelminthes; Trematoda; Strigeidida; Schistosomatidae
Source: Rfam